This 198-nucleotide ribosomal RNA is filed under the name uncultured bacterium. RNAcentral describes it as "partial 16S ribosomal RNA". It matches the Rfam family "Bacterial small subunit ribosomal RNA", at positions 328 to 539 of the family's 1533-position model. The record is from RNAcentral.
ACGCUCGACACCUACUGGAGGCAGCAGUGGGGAAUAUUGCACAAUGGGGGAAACCCUGAUGCAGCGACGCCGCGUGAGCGAAGAAGUAUUUCGGUAUGUAAAGCUCUAUCAGCAGGGAAGAAAAUGACGGUACCUGACUAAGAAGCACCGGCUAAAUACGUGUCAGCAGCCGCGGUAAUCUGAGCGGGCUGGCAAGGC